This 85-nucleotide transfer RNA is filed under the name Pseudomonadales bacterium. RNAcentral describes it as "tRNA-Leu". It matches the Rfam family "tRNA". Rfam says of the family: Transfer RNA (tRNA) molecules are approximately 80 nucleotides in length. Lineage: Bacteria; Pseudomonadati; Pseudomonadota; Gammaproteobacteria; Pseudomonadales. The record is from RNAcentral.
GCGGACGUGGCGGAAUUGGUAGACGCGCUAGAUUUAGGUUCUAGUAUCGUAAGAUGUGAGAGUUCAAGUCUCUCCGUCCGCACCA